CCUACGGGAGGCUGCAGUGGGGAAUAUUGGGCAAUGGGCGCAAGCCUUACCCAGCAAUACCGCGUGAGUGAAGAAGGUCUUCGGAUUGUAAAGCUCUUUGAUCAGGGACGAACAGAUGACGGUACCUGAAGAACAAGCCCCGGCUAACUACGUGCCAGCAGCCGCGGUAAAACGUAGGGGGCGAGCGUUGUCCGGAAUGACUGGGUGUAAAGGGCGUGUAGCCGGGCUGACAAGUCAGAUGUGAAAUCCGGGGGCUCAACCCCCGAACUGCAUUUGAAACUGUUGGUCUUGAGUAUCGGAGAGGCAGGCGGAAUUCCUAGUGUAGCGGUGAAAUGCGUAGAUAUUAGGAGGAACACCAGUGGCGAAGGCGGCCUGCUGGACGACAACUGACGGUGAGGCGCGAAAGCGUGGGGAGCAAACAGGAUUAGAUACCCGUGUAGUC
This 442-nucleotide ribosomal RNA is filed under the name uncultured bacterium. RNAcentral's name for it is "partial 16S ribosomal RNA". It matches the Rfam family "Bacterial small subunit ribosomal RNA", at positions 338 to 795 of the family's 1533-position model. The record is from RNAcentral.